UAAGCGGAGGAAAAGAAACCAACAGGGAUUGCCCUAGUAACGGCGAGUGAAGCGGCAACAGCUCAAAUUUGAAAUCUGGCGCAAGCCCGAGUUGUAAUUUGUAGAGGAUGCUUCUAGGUAGCGACCGGUCUAAGUUCCUUGGAACAGGACGUCAUAGAGGGUGAGAAUCCCGUAUGUGACCGGCCCGCACCUUYUACGUAGCUCCUUCGACGAGUCGAGUUGUUUGGGAAUGCAGCUBUAAAUGGGAGGKAAAUUUCUUCUAAAGCUAAAUACCGGCCAGAGACCGAUAGCGCACAAGUAGAGUGAUCGAAAGAUGAAAAGCACUUUGGAAAGAGAGUUAAAAAGCACGUGAAAUUGUUGAAAGGGAAGCGCUUMCAACCAGACUUCUGGGCGGUGUUCCGCCGGUYUUUUGACCGGUYUACUCGCCGUCCCGAGGCCAACAUCAUCUGGGACCGCUGGAUAAGACCUCAGGAAUGUAGCUUCCCUCGGGAAGUGUUAUAGCCUGUGGUGAUGCAGCGCGUCUCGGGUGAGGUCCGCGCUUCGGCAAGGAUGUUGGCGUAAUGGUUGUCAGCGGCCCGUCUUGAACCACGGACCA
Molecule: ribosomal RNA, 595 nt
Filed under: Ramularia glechomatis
Lineage: Eukaryota; Fungi; Ascomycota; Dothideomycetes; Mycosphaerellales; Mycosphaerellaceae
Description: eukaryotic LSU rRNA
Rfam family: Eukaryotic large subunit ribosomal RNA
Source: RNAcentral